GGAUUCACCUUCGGGUGAUGAGAGUGGCGCACGGGUGAGUAACGCGUAUGUAACCUACCUACAACAGGGGGAUAGCUCCCGGAAACGGGGAUUAACACCGCAUAAGACUACGGAAUCGCAUGGUUCAGUAGUAAAAAUUCCGAUGGUUGUAGAUGGGCAUGCGUGACAUUAGGUAGUUGGUGAGGUAACGGCUCACCAAGCCGACGAUGUCUAGGGGUUCUGAGAGGAAGGUCCCCCACACUGGUACUGAGACACGGACCAGACUCCUACGGGAGGCAGCAGUGAGGAAUAUUGGUCAAUGGACGCAAGUCUGAACCAGCCAUGUCGCGUGCAGGAAGACGGCCCUAUGGGUUGUAAACUGCUUUUUUACGGGAAGAAAACUAUCUACGUGUAGAUAAUUGCCGGUACCGUACGAAUAAGCAUCGGCUAACUCCGUGCCAGCAGCCGCGGUAAUACGGAGGAUGCGAGCGUUAUCCGGAUUUAUUGGGUUUAAAGGGUGCGUAGGCGGGGUAUUAAGUCAGUGGUGAAAGUUUGCAGCUUAACUGUAAAAUUGCCAUUGAUACUGGUAUUCUUGAGUACAUUUGAGGUAGGCGGAAUGUAGUAUGUAGCGGUGAAAUGCA
RNAcentral lists this ribosomal RNA (620 nucleotides) under uncultured bacterium. RNAcentral's name for it is "bacterial SSU rRNA". It matches the Rfam family "Bacterial small subunit ribosomal RNA", at positions 70 to 690 of the family's 1533-position model. The record is from RNAcentral.